This 588-nucleotide ribosomal RNA is filed under the name Triticum aestivum (bread wheat). RNAcentral describes it as "partial small subunit ribosomal RNA". Lineage: Eukaryota; Viridiplantae; Streptophyta; Magnoliopsida; Poales; Poaceae. The record is from RNAcentral.
AUGCAGCCCUCCGCCGCGUCGAGCAUGUCCUGGUCGCCGACGCCGGCGCCCACGUACCGCUCCACCAGCUCGCGCAUGGCGUGCGCGCCGCACGGGCCCAGGCGCACGUGCACGUCCAUCCUCCCCGGCCGCAGCAGCGCCGGGUCGAUGCCGUCCACGUGGUUCGUCGUGAACACGAUGAUGCGCUCCUCGCCGCAGCACGACCACAGGCCGUCGGUGAAGUUGAGCAGCCCCGAGAGGGUCACCUUCCCGCGGUGGUUGUCGGCGCCCAUGACGUCGUCGUCCGAGUCGGACGAGUCAUCGGAGGCGGCCGCGCGGCGUCUCUUGUGCCGCCUCGUGGAGGCCAGGCCGCGGUCGCCGGUGAGGUGGAGGGAGCAGUCGAUGUCCUCGAUGACAAUGAGCGAGCGAUUGGUCGUCUGGAUGAGGAGCGCGCGGAGGUCGGCGUUGGUGGUGACGCGGGUGAGCUCGAGGUCGAACACGUCGUACCGGAGGUGGUUCGCCAUGGCGGCGAUCAGCGAAGACUUGCCCGAGCCAGGCGGGCCGUGGAGGAGGUACCCGCGCUUCCACGGCCUCCCAGUCCGGCGGUAG